Molecule: ribosomal RNA, 468 nt
Filed under: uncultured bacterium
Lineage: Bacteria
Description: partial 16S ribosomal RNA
Rfam family: Bacterial small subunit ribosomal RNA
Source: RNAcentral
GACGAACGCUGGCGGCGUGCUUAACACAUGCAAGUCGAACGGAAAGGCCCGGCUUUUGUUUGGUUCUCGAUUGCCGCACGCGUGAGUAACACGUGAGUAACCUCCCCCUGACUUUGUGAUAACUUUAGGAAACUGGGGCUCAUACCCGAUAGAAUCUCCUGCUGCACAGGGUUGGUUGGAAAGUUUCGGCUUUAGUGGAUGGACUCGCUGCUUAUCAGCUGCUUUGGGUGGUAGUUGUAUACCAAGGCUUUGACGGGUAGGCGGCCUGAGAGGGUGACCGGGGACCUUGGGACUGCGAGACGGAGCAGACUCGUAAGUGAGGCAGCAGUGGGGAAUAUUACGCAAUGGGGGGAAGUCAGAUGCAGAAGCGCCGCGAGCGGGAUAACGGCCUUCGGGUUAUAAACAGAUUUGGAAGGUGCCGAAGCGUGAGUGACGGUAAUGGGUAAAGAAGCCCCGGCUAACUACGUG